Long non-coding RNA from Eucalyptus grandis, 3228 nucleotides. RefSeq lists it as uncharacterized. Lineage: Eukaryota; Viridiplantae; Streptophyta; Magnoliopsida; Myrtales; Myrtaceae. The transcript is spliced from 9 exons. The record is from RefSeq and is a predicted model, not a curated record.
UUGACGACCGGUUCUGUCAAUUGCAAGCUUUUAAGGAAUCAAUAGGACCAGAUUUUGUUGUGCGUUCUGUCAUCAGCUACUGUGUCUUUGUCCGGAACUUAUUUAUCAACUUGACCAAUCACAUUUCUCAAGUUAAUGUCAACUUCUAUGCAGUCAGUAGUGCUGCUCGUGAUCUCUAUGAGAGAACUGACAGUAUUGGUGCGGUACAUCUCAAGCUUGCCUGUACGGAACUUCUUCAUGCUUCUGAGGCGAAUAGUCCUGAAGAUUGCUCACAGGCUCUAUAUUGGACCAAAAGCGCAUUCUCAAAGCUGCAAAGAAAAUUGGAGACACUUGUGCAGAUUGAGCGGAAGAUUAUUGAGCUCGAAGGCAGAUUUUGAGAUGAAGUUCAAUGCUUUUCUAAAGUUACAUUAUCAAUGGUGAAGACUAGGACCCACAAGAAGAGUUGUACAAUUGCACACUCGCCACUUGGCAUCCAUGAAGGAGGUCUUCUCCAAGAAUAUGUGCAAUCAUUGUUAGAUGAGGUAAGGUAUACUUUAUUUGCGGAUACACAUUCUUGUUAAAUGGUAUUAGCUUCCCUACAUUACUAUCUCAGAGUUUUAUCAGUUGUGUUCUUAAAGAAUUCAGGGAUCUAUUGGCACAAUCAUCCUUGUAAAUUAUGCUGCUACCAAUAGUUGGAUUCUAUUGCGUAAUUCCUCCAUCUCAUUCUCUUUUAGAUUUUUGUACUUAGUGUUUCUUAAGCCAUGUCAUCUGUAUGUUAAUUAGCAUGAAAUGUAUCUUAAUAUUUCUUAAUUGGCUGCCUUUGCUGGUAAAGACCCUUUUAGUUGAUAUAUUGUUCAUGUUGUUUCCUCCAGGGGAUUGUAAAUGACCAAUUUGCUUCUGUUCAGACUUUGAAAAGUGCCGAUGAACCUGGUGCCAUCAUAAGACUGAUCACUUCAUAUUUUGCAGAUGUGGAAGCAGUAUUAUCCGAGCUCACAAGAUUUAUGUACAUUUGCAGUUUAGUAGAGUUUGUGUUCUCAUUGGUUUCAUCAAAUGUUAAAUUUUUCAUCAGCAUGUCUAUAUAUCUGCAGUGAUUCUCCUGAGGCUGAUUUUGACCAGUUGGCUGCCCAAGCUAAUACCAUCAAGGAGAAAAGCUUGUGGUAACAUAAAAAAUACCGCUGGGAUGAAUACAACUUUAAGUUUUAUUCUAUAAGUGGGGAAAAUGCAUCAAAACUGUCUGGAGGCUCUUAUUAACAUUUUGUUCGGAAUAUAAUGGGGCAUAUGUCGACAAAGUUCUCUUAAGGAAAGCCAGCCAAGAUGUGUUUUUAAUCUGUACUGGCACGAACUAGGCUUCUUAGUAAACAACUUGAGAGGGCAAUUCACUUUCAGAUGUAGCUCAUAAAGCCCUUGUUCUGCUGAAAAUUUUUAUCUCUUGGAUCAAAAGCUAAAGCGUUAGCUGGUGCAUGCGUGAGGGGAAGACAGACAGAGUCUGUAAUCUUGUAUAUGUGUACAUUCACUUUCCCUAAAACGCAUUAUUGCUGGAUAAAAAAAUUGAAGUCUUGAGUUUUUGAAAACAUCCUCUGUAAUAGCUUAUUGUUCUUUCCAAGUAUGCUGUCUGCUUAUCACUCAUGCCAUCAUUUGUUAAUACAUUAAUGUAGAUGAUGAUGAACUCUGGUUGACUUAAAUUUAUUCUGGAGCACCUUACCUUGGUUAUGUACUUUUUUGGAUCAUUUGUGAUAUGCUACGUCACAUCAGACUUUGCAUGUAAUCUGGAAAAGGAAUCCCUUUAAUAAUUAGUCAUUAUUGUUGUCUUGCAUGUAUUAUCCAAGUAGUGUGGAGCCAUCAUUUCCAACUCAUGGAGGAUCUGUAUUCCAUAAACCUUUCUUAAAACACUUAUUUCCUGCUUGGGCAUGCAGAUUAUUUAUAACCUGAGAGUAUUCAUUUGUUUACUUUUAUCCUCUCAACUUGCAAUUUACACACAUAAUGUUUUCAAAAGGAUUAUUUACCUUUGCAGUACAAGUAUCUAAAUGAUGUGAAUGAUAUUGUCAUGAAAUGAGAACCUUUUCCUAUUCAAGCUCUCCAAGUGAACAGUCCCUUUUGAAGAUUAACGUGCAUGAAAAAUGCCUUGGUUGCAUUUAGGUACUAAGUUUUAAUGCUCAAUUUCGAAGUUUAUCCUUAGGGUUUCCAAAGCGUUGUUAUUUCCCAACGGUUUUAGUUUAGGCUUAGGCUUAUAACUGCAUUGCUUUAUUGGCCAAACUUUUAAGGCGUGAUUACUAGUGAUGUCUUGAAAAGGAAGAUAGAUGGGUGAUCAAGUAUCCAAAUUUCUUGAUAUGUACAGUAAUUACACAAGUUUCCAUAUUUUAUGCUCGACUGUUUCUACUUGGAGUCAGAAUUACAUUCUUUUGUCCUUAGAUUAAGUUGCCAUACAGGUUUUAAUGCUUAGUUGGAAUAAUGAUGCGGUUGAUCCGUAAGUCUGGAUAGUCGACACCUUUGCUACCUCAUAAUUACAUGAGAUUCCAUAUUUUAUGCCUCAUUAUGAGUUUCUCUUUACCUAAAAUGCAGCCUAGAUAGCAGACAUUUUGCAAUAUUAAUUUGACAUAUAUGACGAUUUUGCCUUCUUGUGCUUUCUGCCAAGUACAAUUUACCCUUUUCACAGAUUUUGAUGAUACUCUUUGUAAGCCAAAUCUGUUUUUGUCUUUGUUGUUGCAGCAUAGGAGCUGCACAUAUGAAACUUGCAUGUGAUAACCUCAUCCGUGCUUGUGAAGAACAACAGAGGCAAAAGUUUUCUCAGGCACUUAAUUGGAUAAAAGCUGAAUUUGCUCAAACCCAGGAUAAGUUGGAUGCAGUUGUUCAGAUAUUGGAUAUGCUUGAUCAUGUUUUGCUGGGGCUCUAUUAGUUUCAGUAGCAUGCCCACUUAAAGGUAAAAAUGCUGAUGCCAGUUGGGUCAAUUGGCAAUGCAGAUGGAAAAGAGGAUUCUCAGACUUGAGAGCAAAAAGCACAAGUGAGCUUGUUCCUGGUAUUUGCUCGUUCUAUUCAUUGACUUGGCAUCUGCUGCUAAUGUGGAAUGAUACUUAUUAUCGCGACCAGCAAAGUUGUAGCUCUUUGGUCUAGCUUUUUCUAAAUUUGCGGUGAGCUACCUUUAUACUGCUGUUAUUACCGUCACUGUUAUGACGACUCUUUAUGAGAAAGGAUGGAAUUGUUGACAGUCAUUAAUCUUCAACGAGACAAAAGAUGUUAAUAUAAUCCUGGAAG